Small nuclear RNA from Mustela putorius furo (domestic ferret), 103 nucleotides. The record is from Ensembl. Lineage: Eukaryota; Metazoa; Chordata; Mammalia; Carnivora; Mustelidae.
AUACUUCAGCAGCACCUAUCCUAAAAUUGGAAAGAACCCGAGAAGGUUAGCAUGGCCCUUGUGUAAAAAUGUCAGUGUUGGUGAAGAUGAGGAGCAACUGGAA